AAAACGACUCUCGGCAACGGAUAUCUAGGCUCUCGCAUCGAUGAAGAACGUAGCGAAAUGCGAUACUUGGUGUGAAUUGCAGAAUCCCGUGAACCAUCGAGUCUUUGAACGCAAGUUGCGCCCAAAGCCAUCAGGCCGAGGGCACGUCUGCCUGGGCGUCACAC
RNAcentral lists this ribosomal RNA (164 nucleotides) under Mesogyne insignis. RNAcentral describes it as "5.8S ribosomal RNA". It matches the Rfam family "5.8S ribosomal RNA". Rfam says of the family: 5.8S ribosomal RNA (5.8S rRNA) is a component of the large subunit of the eukaryotic ribosome. It is transcribed by RNA polymerase I as part of the 45S precursor that also contains 18S and 28S rRNA. The record is from RNAcentral. Lineage: Eukaryota; Viridiplantae; Streptophyta; Magnoliopsida; Rosales; Moraceae.